AUUGAACGCUGGCGGCAGGCUUAACACAUGCAAGUCGAGCGAGCGGCGGACGGGUGAGUAAUGUCUGGGAAACUGCCUGAUGGAGGGGGAUAACUACUGGAAACGGUAGCUAAUACCGCAUACCAUCAUAUUUGCCCCGAUGUGAUUAGCUAGUCGGUGGGGUAAAGGCUCACCUAGGCGACGCUCCCUAGCUGGUCUGCGAGGAUGACCAGCCACACUGGAACUGAGACACGGUCCAGACUCCUACGGGAGGCAGCAGUGGGGAAUAUUGCACAAUGGGCGCAAGCCUGAUGCAGCCAUGCCGCGUGUGUGAAGAAGGCCUUCGGGUUGUAAAGCACUUUCAGCGAGGAGGCGUUACUCGCAGAAGAAGCACCGGCUAACUCCGUGCCAGCAGCCGCGGUAAUUC
Molecule: ribosomal RNA, 406 nt
Filed under: uncultured bacterium
Lineage: Bacteria
Description: partial 16S ribosomal RNA
Rfam family: Bacterial small subunit ribosomal RNA
Source: RNAcentral